This 468-nucleotide ribosomal RNA is filed under the name uncultured bacterium. RNAcentral describes it as "partial 16S ribosomal RNA". It matches the Rfam family "Bacterial small subunit ribosomal RNA", at positions 28 to 507 of the family's 1533-position model. The record is from RNAcentral.
GACGAACGCUGGCGGCGUGCUUAACACAUGCAAGUCGAACGGAAAGGCCCUGCUUUUGUGGGGUGCUCGAGUGGCGAACGGGUGAGUAACACGUGAGUAACCUGCCCUUGACUUUGGGAUAACUUCAGGAAACUGGGGCUAAUACCGGAUAGGAGCUCCUGCUGCAUGGUGGGGGUUGGAAAGUUUCGGCGGUUGGGGAUGGACUCGCGGCUUAUCAGCUUGUUGGUGGGGUAGUGGCUUACCAAGGCUUUGACGGGUAGCCGGCCUGAGAGGGUGACCGGCCACAUUGGGACUGAGAUACGGCCCAGACUCCUACGGGAGGCAGCAGUGGGGAAUAUUGCACAACGGGCGGAAGCCUGAUGCAGCAACGCCGCGUGCGAGAUGACGGCCUUCGGGUUGUAAACCGCUUUCGCCUGUGACGAAGCGUGAGUGACGGUAAUGGGUAAAGAAGCACCGGCUAACUACGUG